UCUCCACACUCCCAAAUGCUGCCUCCUUUAACCCGCUCAUGCAUGAAGAAGAUUCCAGAUUUGGCGUUGUCUCAAUUUUCUCUGUCUCCACACUCCCAAAUGCUGCCUCCUUUAACCCGUUCAUGCAUGAAGGAGGUUCCAGAUUUGGCGUUGUCUCAAUUUUCUCUGUCUCCACACUCCCAAAUGCUGCCUCCUUUAACCCGUUCAUGCAUGAAGAAGGUUCCAGAUUUGGCGUUGUCUCAAUUUUCUCUGUCUCCACACUCCCAAAUGCUGCCUCCUUUAACCCGUUCAUGCAUGAAGGAGGUUCCAGAUUUGGCGUUGUCUCAAUUUUCUCUGUCUCCACACUCCCAAAUGCUGCCUCCUUUAACCCGUUCAUGCAUGAAGGAGGUUCCAGAUUUGGCGUUGUCUCAAUUUUCUCUGUCUCCACACUCCCAAAUGCUGCCUCCUUUAACCCGUUCAUGCAUGAAGAAGGUUCCAGAUUUGGCGUUGUCUCAAUUUUCUCUGACUGAUCGUUUUGACAAUGAUCAGUAGGUUGAGGAGGGAUGAUAAUAUCUUCAGGAUUUUUAGCUACUGUGCGUUUUCCUUUCUGAGCUUUCUUCUUGAACUGAGC
This 610-nucleotide long non-coding RNA is filed under the name Arabidopsis thaliana (thale cress). RNAcentral describes it as "long non-coding RNA (ATHA_LNC000693)". Lineage: Eukaryota; Viridiplantae; Streptophyta; Magnoliopsida; Brassicales; Brassicaceae. The record is from RNAcentral.